CAGCAGGUGGCAUAGUGGUUAGUGCUGCUGCCUUCCACUCAACAGACACGGGUUUGAUUCACAAGUCCUACUGC
RNAcentral lists this transfer RNA (74 nucleotides) under Scleropages formosus (Asian bonytongue). RNAcentral's name for it is "tRNA-Gly". The record is from RNAcentral. Lineage: Eukaryota; Metazoa; Chordata; Actinopteri; Osteoglossiformes; Osteoglossidae.